UCCUGACACUCUAAUUCUUAUGUAAUGUUACAGAGAGAGAUGAGUGUGGCUCAGAGUGAGGCUCGGAGCGUGAGCUCCCAACCUGUAGAUCCUGAACAGAAUCAACUAGAAGCUCUUCUCUUUAAGGCGACCAACCCCAGUAACAAAGUGGAGGAUGUGAAUACUAUAAAACUAUUCUGUGAUCAUAUUGAGAAAAUUCAAGAUGGUGCCAUAAUUGCUGGUCGACUUCUCUCCCACAGAAUACAAUCCCCGCAGGACAGAGAAGCCCUUCAGGCUCUAGCUGUGGUUGAAGCCGCAGCCAAAUCUUCCCCAGCUUUUGUUGUAGAAAUUGGAAAAUUUAGGUUUUUGAAUGAGAUGAUAAAAUUGAUAUCUCCUAAAUACCUUGGCUCUAGAACCUCAGAUUCAGUGAAGAUGCGGGUUAUCGAACUACUCUUCUCAUGGACUAAACAGUUUCCACAGGAGAAGAAAAUAUGUGAAGCGUAUUCAAUGCUAAAAGGACAAGGAGUUAUACAAGAAGAUCCUGUUCAUGUCAAACAUGCUGUAUUUGCUGCAUCCCUACCUCCACGGGAAGCAGAUCUAAGUGUGGAGGAAUCUGCCAGGUUACAGAAACUACUGCAUAGUGGUAAUCAACAGGAUUUAGAGAAAGCUAAUCAAAUUAUUCAGAGUAUGGUAAGAAAGGAAGAGGAGAAAUUAGAAAAAGCUACUAAACAAGCAAGUCAACUUCAGGAGGUUCAAGCAAGUACCCGGCUUCUCUCCGACAUGUUGGAACAGGUUGAAGUUGGACAGGUGGCGGCGGAGGAUAGAGAAAUCAUGGCGGAGCUUUAUUCGGCUUGUGAGGGAUGGCGACCAAAACUAUUUCAGCUGGCCGCCGAAGCGGAAGAAAAUGAUCCUGUCAUAGGUGAUAUAUUGUAUGCUAGUGAUGAGAUGUCCAGAAUAAUUGAUAAAUAUAAAGAUUUAAUAAUUCUCAAUAAAACGAACAGAUCAGAAUCAAGCAGUAAUCAUAACCUAUUAAAUAUUGCCCCGAAACCUUCAUCGAGACAAGAUCUUUUGGAAGAGUUUCUUCUGGGUCAAAAUGGCGGAGAUAAUCCCACGUCGCACAUACAGCUCACCGCUGAAACUUUUGGCGCCAUUUCAUUAAACCAAUAUGGCGGACAUUUAUUAUCUGAUACAGCUAGCGACAAUAGUUCUAUGUUGGGAGUGGAAGAUUCUCAAUUUGUUGGAGAGAAAGAUGAAAUAUCUCCUCUCAAUAAUCAAAUUAAAAAUCUAGAUCUCCACAAGAUGGCGGAAAAUAAUCUCUUAAUGGAGGAAAAUGGCAAUGGUGGGAUAAAAGAUAUUUUCUCAGAGUUUGGAUUAUCUGAGAACAAUUGUUCCUCUCUUCCCCCAGUCCUCCAAGAUCUACUAUCUGAUGGACCGGAUCAACAGUGUUCUCCUAAUGAAUUUAUCCUCCCUAAUCUUCAAACCAAAGGAAAAAUUAGCGACGAACUGAACCAGCGUCGAAGAGGAUUGGAUGAGCUUGACUUACUCGGAGAAAAUGCUCUUCGUGCGCAGCUCCCGGAGCAUAAAGAAGCUGGGUUCAUUGCUAGAAAGCAGGAGAAGCUGCCCCUGAAAGAGCUUAUGAGACAAAGUAGCUCAAUGUCACAGUUUGAAAGCCAGGAACAGCAAACUCCGCCCCCUUAUCCUACCACGCCUACAAACCAAACCAAACCUAAGUCAAACCAAACUUGUUCUAGUCUUGAAACAAACCAAACCAAUCCAAAGAUUGAAAAACCAGUUCCUCAAGCAUUGUUAACAAACAACUUCGACCCUGCACCUAAAUCAGAGGUUAAAGUAACCGAGGUUAAACUCCAAGAUAUAAAGUUGAGGAUGGAGGAUGUAGUCCCACAUCCUGCACUGCCUCCACUUGACCUGCAGGCAGAGGGUCCGGUCUCCCUGGUCCUCCAUUAUUCAUGUACUGUCCCGGCACCUGGAGUUUCCGUACAUGUUGUACAGUUUACAAACACGGGCAAGCUACCAGUUGAGGAAUUAGAGUUUAAAGCAGUUGUUCCUAAAGGUUGCAAAGUCAGACUUCUACCAAUUUCUAGUAAUCACCUUCCGUCUCCUCUACCAUUCUCCCCUUCUCCAACCUGCAAUCAGUUAAUGCUGGUUUUGAAUCCGGAGAAGAAGAAUAUUUUCCUUGGUUUUGUUCUCAGCUAUUCAAUAGACGAGGAGUCCUUCACCUUUAUAGGGAAGGAUAUCCAGACCUGUAUACAGUAGUAAUCAGUAUUAUUAUUAUCAAUGUUAUCAAUCAAAUAUUUGACCAAGUUUAAUCUGAGGAUUUCAGGUAAUUGAACAUAGUUGCAACUUUAAAAAAACAGAACUUACCACGUUUCUUGUUAUGGUAUCUAUUUUCUCAUUUACUUGAAAUAAAAUAUCUAAUUCCCGCUCUAAUUUUACCAAAAUUCUGGAACUCUUGUAAAUUAUUCAUUUUCAUGUACAAACUGUGAGCUUGUUACUUCAUAAAUCAAUGUUUUAUGUACACCGAUCUUUGUAAUUUAUGUACAUGUAUGUGUAAUCAACGUGCACUGUAAUAUUGUCUCUCUUUGCACAAUUCACGUUAACUGUGAAAUGUCUUGUGGCAUUUUUUGUGAUAUUAUUUUGAAUUAUAAUAAAAUGUUAGACCUUA
This 2662-nucleotide unclassified non-coding RNA is filed under the name Eurytemora carolleeae. Its description in RNAcentral is "aDP-ribosylation factor-binding protein GGA1". Lineage: Eukaryota; Metazoa; Arthropoda; Copepoda; Calanoida; Temoridae. The record is from RNAcentral.